Molecule: ribosomal RNA, 347 nt
Filed under: uncultured bacterium
Lineage: Bacteria
Description: bacterial SSU rRNA
Rfam family: Bacterial small subunit ribosomal RNA
Source: RNAcentral
AGAGUUUGAUCCUGGCUCAGGACGAACGCUGGCGGCGCGCCUAACACAUGCAAGUCGAACGAGCGAGAGAGAGCUUGCUUUCUCGAGCGAGUGGCGAACGGGUGAGUAACGCGUGAGGAACCUGCCUCAAGGGAGGGGGACAACAGUUGGAAACGACUGCUAAUACCGCAUAAGCCCACGGGUCGGCAUCGACCAGAGGGAAAAGGAGCAAUCCGCUUUGAGAUGGCCUCGCGUCCGAUUAGCUAGUUGGUGAGGUAAUGGCCCACCAAGGCGACGAUCGGUAGCCGGACUGAGAGGUUGAACGGCCACAUUGGGACUGAGACACGGCCAGACUCCUACGGGAGGCA